This 1146-nucleotide long non-coding RNA is filed under the name Homo sapiens (human). Its description in RNAcentral is "HSALNT0297517". The record is from RNAcentral. Lineage: Eukaryota; Metazoa; Chordata; Mammalia; Primates; Hominidae.
GACGGGACUGAGAGCUCUGAAAGGAGGGAGGCGGCUCCCGAGUACUCCGCGCGGGGCAGGCCCCGGCCUCGCCUCUUCGCCCAUUUUUAAGGCUCGAGUUAGAGGCCACCUCCUCCGAGAAGCCUUCGGUGACACCACCUCUCCCAGACGGUUCCCCUUUCUGAUUCCCACAGCAUUUUCCAACCAUUCACGCCGUCUUCCUUCCUCAUUGUGGUUUGGACCUUCUCGAGAAAGAAUCUGGCCUCAGUCUCCCUCUUCCACACUCAGGGACCGCCACCAUCACAGGCACUCGGUAGAUGUCUGCUGAAUGAGGAUAACUUCUACCCAACACCGUGAAGCCUGGCCCAGGGUCUGGCAUACAGAUGCCGUGUUUGUAAGUCCUGGUUGCUCAUCUCGCCCACUUGCACAGCCCACCUGUGUGGCCGACUCAGGAUUGACCCACCUGCUCUCUUCAGGCCAUAUUCCCACGCAGAAGUGGGUCCCACUCCUCAGGCCUCUGUGCUGGCCCCGUCUGUGGGGUUAGCAAGCAGCCCUGCUCUCCAUUUCCAGCUCAGAAGCAACUGGAUCGUUGUAAGUGAUUUCUAUCUUUCCCAGCGCCCUGUUGGGCCUGUGGGGACUUGGCUUGGUUGGCUCAAUUUUCUGAGUACAAGUAGAAACCUGAGGUUGAGUGAGGCAGGCAGUGGCUGGGCUGAGAUAUUGUAGGAGGGUAAUAUCAGGUCAUUUCUCCACCAUGCAGAGUGUAGUUUUUGUUGGUCUGUGUGUCGGUGUGGUUAGGGAGGUAUUAGUAUGUAUAUUUGAGUGAGCAUACAUACUUAGAUUGCAUGUGGGCUCUGAUGUUUGUGGGUAGCAGGGGAUAUGGAUAUGUGUUCACUAUGUUAGUAAGCACAUAUAAUGGUAUCUGUUGAAGAAAGUCGUCUUGUGAAAUGUGGGUGUUAUGGUAGAGUGUACAUUUUGGUGGAGUAUGUCUGAGUGUAGCUGGUGCAAAUACUAAUUUGAUCUUUCCUCUUUACAGACCUCAUUGGUGACAACUUGACUGUGCUGCCCAGAGCUGAUAAGAAACAUCACCCGGGGAAGACCAGCUGCCUCUUCCUUGCUUCCUAAUCAGGGUGGAAAUACUGCUAAAUAUAUCACAACUCUUUGCAAGCA